CGCGCAGGCGGUUUUGUAGGUCAGAUGUGAAAUCCCGGGGCUUAACCCCGGAAGUGCAUUUGAAACCAUGAGACUUGAGUAUGGGAGAGGGAAGCGGAAUUCCUGGUGUAGAGGUGAAAUUCGUAGAUAUCAGGAGGAACACCGGUGGCGAAGGCGGCUUCCUGGACCAAUACUGACGCUGAGGCGCGAAGGCGUGGGGAGCAAACA
RNAcentral lists this ribosomal RNA (207 nucleotides) under uncultured bacterium. RNAcentral describes it as "partial 16S ribosomal RNA". It matches the Rfam family "Bacterial small subunit ribosomal RNA", at positions 568 to 774 of the family's 1533-position model. The record is from RNAcentral.